AUCGCCAGGGAAUUACAAGCCCAAACUUAAAACCCAAAGGACUUGACGGUGCCCCACUCCCCCUAGAGGAGCCUGUACUUCAAUCGAUUUUACCCGCUAAACCCGACUGCUUUUUGAUUCAUCAGCUUGUAUACUUCCGUCGUAAGCUCACCAUGCUGAGUUGAUAUUGUAGUGAGCCCAAAGGAUUUCCCCAAUACGUCAGGUCAAGGUGCAGCCCACAAAGCAGAUAGUAAUGGGCUACAGUUUCUAUUAUAGAACCAACGAAAAAAGCUAUAUGAAAUAUAGCCACGAAGGAGGAUUUAGAAGUAAAAAGAAAAUAAAUUGUUCUUUUUAAAUAAGGUGCUGGGGCGCGUACAGACCGCCCGUCACCCUCUUCAACUAAACUCAAUUGAUUAAUAACCUAAUAAUUUAACACAGAA
This 419-nucleotide ribosomal RNA is filed under the name Breviceps macrops (desert rain frog). RNAcentral describes it as "partial small subunit ribosomal RNA". It matches the Rfam family "Bacterial small subunit ribosomal RNA", at positions 868 to 1448 of the family's 1533-position model. Lineage: Eukaryota; Metazoa; Chordata; Amphibia; Anura; Brevicipitidae. The record is from RNAcentral.